AUUGAACGCUGGCGGCAUGCCUUACACAUGCAAGUCGAACGGUAACAGGUCUUCGGAUGCUGACGAGUGGCGAACGGGUGAGUAAUACAUCGGAACGUGCCCGAUCGUGGGGGAUAACGGAGCGAAAGCUUUGCUAAUACCGCAUACGAUCUACGGAUGAAAGCAGGGGACCGCAAGGCCUUGCGCGGACGGAGCGGCCGAUGGCAGAUUAGGUAGUUGGUGGGAUAAAAGCUUACCAAGCCGACGAUCUGUAGCUGGUCUGAGAGGACGACCAGCCACACUGGGACUGAGACACGGCCCAGACUCCUACGGGAGGCAGCAGUGGGGAAUUUUGGACAAUGGGCGAAAGCCUGAUCCAGCCAUGCCGCGUGCAGGAUGAAGGCCUUCGGGUUGUAAACUGCUUUUGUACGGAACGAAAAGACUCUUUCUAAUAAAGAGGGUCCAUGAUGGUACCGUAAGAAUAAGCACCGGCUAACUACGUG
This 482-nucleotide ribosomal RNA is filed under the name uncultured bacterium. Its description in RNAcentral is "partial 16S ribosomal RNA". It matches the Rfam family "Bacterial small subunit ribosomal RNA", at positions 30 to 507 of the family's 1533-position model. The record is from RNAcentral.